AUGCAUUACGAUAUCAAGCUUAAAUCAUGUAUUGAAGGAAAUAUUUUUUAUGGAGAAUACAAUAUCAGCAUAAACAUUCUUGACAAAACGCAACACAUAUAUUUACUUUCAAAAAAUUAUGUAUUGACAAUAUAGUUAUAAUUACAAAUUUUAAAAAAUAUGAAAAUGAUAAAGAUACAGUUUAUAAACCGACAUAUAAUACUGAAGAAGACCCAAUUGAUAUUUCCUUCAUGAAUGAGUUAUCACCAGGAAAUUACAUUUUAAAUAUAAAAUAUUUUGGCACUGCUGAUAAAGGCUUUAAAAUUUUCGACGCGAAAAAAGCUGGAACUGUUUGGGUAGGUGCUCCGCAUUUCCAGAUAAUAGGCGGCCGACAAGCGUUUCCAUGUUGGCAUUCAAAUAAUUUAUCGUUAGACGCAACCUUUAACAUUUCUUUGGGAUGUCAUCACUGCACUACUUUGUCAAACAUGCCAUUGCGAAAUACGGAAAUAGAUGAGAACAAUAUGUUAUGGACAAACUACAGUACCACAUCUGUAAUGUUGAUUCAUCACGCAACAAUGGUUGUGUCUAAUUACCUAUACCCCUGAUAUCAAAACACAAUACAUUAAAAUGUGGUGCAAAGUAGAAAUUAAAUAUCACAUGCAAUUUGCAAAAUAUGUAGCUAAAAAUAUCACGUUGUUUUUUCAAAUAAAUGGAUACGUUUGGACAAUAUUUGGAACGUGAAUCAUGUUGCAAUUCCAAAUUUCCAUGACAAAGCAUAACAGUUUUCGGACUUGUUUUUUAUAGGGAAACAGAUAUCAUCUACAAUAAAAAAUUAUGUCCUAUGCUAACAAAAUCGAAGUAGCUCAAUUAGUAGGACGUAAAGUGACACAGCAAUGGUUUAUUGACAUGAUGAACGAUCCGUCAGUGUCGGACUUUUGGUUUUAAAAAAGGUCUUAUUACAUGGCUUGCAACGUAUGCUGUCGAUCAGGUUAUUCUAAAUAUUGUCAAUGCUAUCUUGCUCUCAACUUCUUGCAAACGAUAUAAUACUUAAGCAUUUAUAUUGCAAGAUAUUCUUAAA
This is a non-coding RNA of Nylanderia fulva, 1057 nucleotides long. The record is from RefSeq and is a predicted model, not a curated record. Lineage: Eukaryota; Metazoa; Arthropoda; Insecta; Hymenoptera; Formicidae.